Molecule: long non-coding RNA, 1020 nt
Filed under: Pavo cristatus (Indian peafowl)
Lineage: Eukaryota; Metazoa; Chordata; Aves; Galliformes; Phasianidae
Description: lncRNA (ENSPSTG00000005442.1)
Source: RNAcentral
AUGUGCAUGCACUUGUGUGUGCACAGGUGUGUGUGUGCAGAUGCACGUGUGUGUACAUCUGUGCAUCGAUGUGUGAGCAGAGCUAAGCAUAAGCACACAGAUGUGCACACAGGUGUGCGUGCAAAUGAACUCACAGGGCUUCACUGUGCCCCUAGCCAUGUCAAGUGGCGCCAUGCAAUGCUGUGCUGUGCCAUGUCAUGGCCACGCUACCCCACACAAUGCUGUGCUGUACAAUGCCAUGCCACGCAAUGCUGUGUUGUGCUGUACUGUGCAACGCAAUGUGUGUUGUGCCGCACCAUGCAAUGCCAUGCUGUGCUGCACCAUGCCAUGCGAUGCAACAACAUGCCGUACCAUGCAAUGCCAUGCAGUGCUGUGCCAUGCCAUGCUAUGCCAUGCUGUGCUGUAGCAUGCAAUGCAAUGCUGUGCUGUACCAUGCGAUACCACACCGUGCUGUACCAUGCAAUGCCACGCUGUGCUGUACCAUGCAAUGCCACGCCGUGCUGUACCAUGCAAUGCAAUGCUGUGCUGUACCAUGCAAUACCACACCGUGCUGUACCGUGCCAUGCUAUGCAGCGCCACAGCAGAGCCCCGCACCGCAGCAGCGCCGCACACCCCGCUCUCCCCCCCGCUGCCCCUUUAAGGCGGACACCCCGCUCCGACCGCGCGCGCGGGGUGCACGCUCGGCUGUGCGCGCUCGGGUGCGUGUGCGCGCGGGUGUGUGCGUGUGCGCGCCCGCCCCCGGCCCCUCCCCGGCGCUGCCAAUCACCCGGCGGCCGCUUUGAUGUCGGCAGCCCUUGGCCGCCGCGCCGCCGCGCUCGCACACAGGCACCGGGCGCUCCGUGCCUCUGGCUGCCGCCGGCGCCCGCUGCUCCCAGAGAAACUUUGCGGGGCUCGGGCCGGGGGGCGGCACCGGGGGGGGCACCGCCGAGCGCGGCAUCCCGCGACGCCUGCCCGGCUGCAGCCUGCAGAGCCCCCCGCCAGCUGCCGGGGAGGGAGGGAGGGGGGGAGGAAAAGAUUUAA